This 406-nucleotide ribosomal RNA is filed under the name Troglophilus escalerai. Its description in RNAcentral is "partial 16S ribosomal RNA". It matches the Rfam family "Bacterial large subunit ribosomal RNA", at positions 1939 to 2551 of the family's 2925-position model. The record is from RNAcentral. Lineage: Eukaryota; Metazoa; Arthropoda; Insecta; Orthoptera; Rhaphidophoridae.
AUUUUGACUGUGCAAAGGUAGCAUAAUCAUUAGUCUUUUAAUUGGAGACUGGUAUGAAUGGUUUAACGAAGUAUUAACUGUCUCAUUUUAAUAAGUUGAAAUUAACUUUUGAGUCAAAAGGCUUAAAUAAAAUUAGAGGACGAGAAGACCCUAUAGAGCUUUAUAAGUUUGUUACGAAAUGUAAUUUAGAGGUUUAUUUAAUUUAAGUAAAAAAUUUAUUUUAUUGGGGUGAUAUGAAGAUUUAAUAAACUCUUUAUAAUAAUUAAACACUAAUAAGUGAAUAGUUGAUCCAUUUUUAGUGAUUAUAAGAUUAAGUUACCUUAGGGAUAACAGCGUAAUGUUUUUUGAGAGUUCUUAUCAACAAAAAAGAUUGCGACCUCGAUGUUGGAUUAAGGAAAAAGUUGGG